This 397-nucleotide unclassified non-coding RNA is filed under the name Hevea brasiliensis (rubber tree). Lineage: Eukaryota; Viridiplantae; Streptophyta; Magnoliopsida; Malpighiales; Euphorbiaceae. The record is from RNAcentral.
UAAUUUCCUUUCAAUCGAUCAUUCAUCUAGUUUUCUAAAAAAAUCUCACCAUAGUUCCAUGACUGAGAACCCCCAAACUUAAAGUUUACCUUCCGAUGACAUGAAGUUCUUACAACCGUAACAGUUUACCAAGUAAACCUCAUGAUGGACGUAGCAAAAAGGAAGAUGAAAUUGUGGAAUGAUUAAAGAAGCUGGACGGAUGACACACUACCAGCUCGAACCCAAUGGUACCAUGUCACUGCUGUUGUGAUUGCUGGAAUGGGAUUUUUCACCGAUGCAUACGAUCUCUUCUGCAUCACCACUGUCUCUAAACUUUUAGGCCGUUUGUAUUACUACGACCCGGCUACCCAUGCCCCGGGCAAAUUGCCUCAUAGUGUUAACAACUGGGUGAUCGGAG